Long non-coding RNA from Bombus pyrosoma, 2104 nucleotides. RefSeq lists it as uncharacterized. The transcript is spliced from 2 exons. Lineage: Eukaryota; Metazoa; Arthropoda; Insecta; Hymenoptera; Apidae. The record is from RefSeq and is a predicted model, not a curated record.
GUUUAUAUGUUUGCCAAAUAACGAAUAAAAAUAGAACGCGAGAGCAACAGUAAUUCAACGAGCGAUAGGAAUGUACGAAAAAAGGAUUGUAGAUGCGUUCACUUUCGUUAUCGUUUCUUUCAUCCCGGCGCACCCUUAAUGUUUGCUAUUGAUCGAUGCCGCGUCCAAACUGUCAGAAUCAGAUCCCCUUCUGGUAUUUUUAAGGAUAUAGAAGAUAAAGUCAUAUAAAAAAACAUUGUACCUCUCUUAUUAUACUGAACGCAACCGUUAAUUCCUUGUAUUUAAAAAAGAGAGAAAUACUCAUAGACCAAGAAUCGUGCGAGUUUAAAUAAAUAAAGAAGAAAGAUAAGUAAAAUAAACGUCAUAUACUUAGAAUAAUAAAUUAAAGCUUUAUGCAGAAAAGUACCUAAAAUAAAUAUUUAUUAAAUAAAUAUGUCGUAUCGAAUUUAUAUACACGAAUUAAUUUUCAUAAUUUAAUAAUAAACCUCAUGGUCCAUUCAAAAUAUACCGAUACUGUUUUCGUGAAUUCGAAUCACGAAUACACCCGAAUUAGCGUGGCUACGGGCGAGCAUGUGUGAAAUUUAGUCAUCAGUUAUUUUUAAAUGAAUGUGUGUCAAAGAAAGAAUUGUACGAUAAUGAUACCGGAUAAUUGUUGGGAUCUCCUAUCAACUUAUUCAUAAUAUAUUUAUCUUAUUCCUAUCUAUUCCGGAUAGUACAUUUAAUAAUGACACAUGGAAUUAUAUUAUUGAAAUGUAUAUUGUUAAAAUUGUACUGCACUGAUUCACGACUCACAACCGGCAAUAAUAGGCGGAAUGUAUACAAAUCUCACACUGACCUUAAUAAGGUAGGUGGUCGCGCCUUGAUCGCCUGCGAAUGACUGAGGUGCGGAUCUACGUUUCCAACCAUAGCACGAGUGACGUCAUGAAUGAUAUCAUACUUGGAUCCGUCUUCCUAACUAGAGAAUGAACGUGUAGUAUACACGUAUACCAACAUUAAAUUGAAAAAAAGUAACGAAGUUUGUGUACAUAAUAAGAUGCGUAGUCAAAGUUAUGUGGAAUACUACAUAGCAAAAUAUAAACAUAUGGAUGAAAUACAAACCUCAAGUUUAAGCAUUAAAAUUUAGUUUUGGUAACUUAGUUAUGAUUUCGUAUUCUUGCAAUUUUUUAGGAGUUUCCGGCGAAUGAAAUUUCAAGGUUCUCGAUAAAAUUUUCAAUUAAUUUUCUGACUUUAUAGUCAGACAUAAUUCCACGAGCGCAAUAUUCACGCACCGUGUUCUGAUUUACACUUAUUUAUAGCGCGUCGUGAGUUAAGUAUUAGCGGUCAAAGCAAAAUAUUUUUCAUUGCUAUUUAGCUUGAAUAAUAACCAAAAUCGAUAAUAUGAUAUAAAAUAAAACAAACAGUAAAGUAACGAGUGUAAAAACAGCAUAUGACAGCAUUUAAUCGUCGAACCAGACUCGAUAACAAUCCUUUAAUUUCCACUCUGAUAAUUGGUUGACGUUAGUAGAUUUUGAAUCGUUCAUUAAAUAGAGGAAAACAAUCUUUUUGCAAGGCUUGUAUAUAAUUUCUUAACUGCCUUUUGUUAAUUCCCACUGAUGUUAUUCUUGUUGAAAACGAAAAGUUAUACAUAUUCCAAAAUUUCUUUAUUUUGCUCAUCUGACUCACUGAACUAAAAGGAAGCAUUAUCCGAACGCUGUACAAGUGGAAUUCAAAGACAAUGUCAAAAACGAACAUAUAUUUCAAUGGUAAUGUGUACAGAAAAAGUACAAUGUAUCCAGGAACACACUCAUUCACGUAGUAGCGGACAGCUCUUACAUCAAUGAAAGUGAAUUACAUAAGUGACCUUUAUGUGAUUGACAGAAAAUAAAAAAAACAAAAGAAAGAGAAAACGAUGUAUAACGUUCAAUUUGUGCAAAUAUAUUAACUAUAUAAAACAGAUAUUUAUAUAUAUAUAUAUAUAUAUAUAAACGUAUAUAACUAAUGCGUGUAUACAUAUAAAUAAAAAGUCGCGGUAGUGCGAGAAAGGUACAGUUAGAAAAUUAAAUUGGACGGGAAGUGCCGCGUAAGGUACAUCGAUGACCAAACUAUAUAAUCCAUUGCAUAUUAU